RNAcentral lists this long non-coding RNA (329 nucleotides) under Bos taurus (domestic cattle). RNAcentral's name for it is "long non-coding RNA NONBTAT009374". Lineage: Eukaryota; Metazoa; Chordata; Mammalia; Artiodactyla; Bovidae. The record is from RNAcentral.
CAGUACGUUUUCUUCUCCCCACAUCUUAGUGUAGCAUCAGAAAAUUCUUUUUGGAGAUAUACAUUUCCUUUUUUUCUUCAAGGAAAAUGUUGGUAAAAUACUGGGGUUCAUUAGUAUUGAUUUAUUUUAGUAAUCUUGAACUCUUUUUUUAAGUGGGAAAAUGAAGAAGUUAUUAAAAGGAAAAAAACGCUCUGGUUUCAAUGCUGUUUCUGAGUUAUUGUAAUUAUCAGUAUUGGAAGUAAAUUUUAUAAAACUGUUUUCUCUGAAACCAGUGAAGUGUGAAAGAAAUAAAAUGAAAACAGUUUCUUCCUCUCCUACAAAUCCCUGAG